This is a long non-coding RNA of Amblyraja radiata (thorny skate), 311 nucleotides long. RefSeq lists it as uncharacterized. The transcript is spliced from 3 exons. Lineage: Eukaryota; Metazoa; Chordata; Chondrichthyes; Rajiformes; Rajidae. The record is from RefSeq and is a predicted model, not a curated record.
GGAUGACCUUUCCUGCUUUGUAGAUGAACUGUGCAAAUUGAUGAACACUUCCAUAAAGAAGAACUUCCAUAAAACAAUCCAUAGACUGCGGAGAAAAGCAAAAUACCUCAACAUUAUUAAUGGCAACUGCACUGUGCAUGAUAAUCAAACAAGGAACACCAUGGCAUUUCUGGACAGAAUGUUGACACUUUUACAGCAAAAGUUCAGACAACAGUGAUAUAUCAGACACCAGACACUUCAAAAUCAAUUAUGGAUUAUGGAAAUUUUAAGCCAUUGUGAUCUAUUCCAAAAGGAUGGAUUUUUAAAAAAUA